This 29-nucleotide non-coding RNA is filed under the name Rattus norvegicus (Norway rat). The record is from RNAcentral. Lineage: Eukaryota; Metazoa; Chordata; Mammalia; Rodentia; Muridae.
UCACUCUUUCUAAUCCUUUUCUGAUGCCU